GUCUACAGCCAUACCACCCUGAAUGCGCCUGAUCCUGGCUGAUCUCAGAAGCUAAGCAGGGCUGGGCCUGGUUAGUACUUGGAUGGGAGAAAGAAAGGUGAAGGGAGGAA
Molecule: non-coding RNA, 110 nt
Organism: Papio anubis (olive baboon)
Lineage: Eukaryota; Metazoa; Chordata; Mammalia; Primates; Cercopithecidae
Source: Rfam